Molecule: long non-coding RNA, 364 nt
Filed under: Trifolium pratense (red clover)
Lineage: Eukaryota; Viridiplantae; Streptophyta; Magnoliopsida; Fabales; Fabaceae
Description: long non-coding RNA (TPRA_LNC010197)
Source: RNAcentral
GAUUAGUAUAGAGGCUUUUCUCAAAAAAAAAAAAAAAAGAUUAGUAUAGAGGCUGAAAAAUUGAUUAAAUGAUUAAUGGUUGAUAGUGAGACAUAGAGCAAUCGAAGAAGCUUAUUUUCAACGCCAACCAACCCAUCUUCCAUUCUCUACCCAUUCAUCUUCAUAAUCUACAUCCCAUUCUCAGGUCAGCUAUCCUCUUCUUUUUUUCAUCUUUUCGUUGGAAAUUUCCACAUUCCUCAUUGUUCCAUUCCAAUUGUAAAUCCAAAUUUCUUGAUCUUAGUAUGUUAAAGAUAUAGUUAGUUAGUAAUUAGGAGGAUUAGUUAGUAGUUUGUUGAUGCCUAUAUAUAUAGGCUUUGAUGUAAUC